This 422-nucleotide RNase P RNA is filed under the name Bacteroidia bacterium. RNAcentral describes it as "RNase P RNA component class A". It matches the Rfam family "Bacterial RNase P class A". Rfam says of the family: Ribonuclease P (RNase P) is a ubiquitous endoribonuclease, found in archaea, bacteria and eukarya as well as chloroplasts and mitochondria. Its best characterised activity is the generation of mature 5'-ends of tRNAs by cleaving the 5'-leader elements of precursor-tRNAs. Cellular RNase Ps are ribonucleoproteins. The record is from RNAcentral. Lineage: Bacteria; Pseudomonadati; Bacteroidota; Bacteroidia.
AGGGAUGCGCGGGCAGCCGUACAGUUCCCCUCCGUAGGGAGCUGUGAGGAAAGUCCGGGCACCAGCGGGCAGCCUGCUACCUAACGGGUAGACGGUCGUGAGGUUGUGCCGACGCAGCAGAAAAUAACCGCUCGGAUAGGCCCCUGUGGUUCAGACGAGCAAGGGUGAGAACGUGGGGUAAGAGCCCACGGCCCUGCCCGGUGACGGGUAUGGGCGUGCGUCGCCAGGCGGUGCAAAAUCAUGUAGGCCUACUGGGGCGUGAGCCCUUCGGGAGGCCCUCUCGAUGCCUUUCCCCCUGUGGGCAAGGCCAGUAGGUGGGUAGAUUGCUAGAGUCCAUUGGCGACAGUGGACCAAGAUAAAUGGCUGCUAACCAGCGGUUUUCCACUGGGAUACAGAACCCGGCUUACAGCGCAUCCCUUAUG